Molecule: ribosomal RNA, 469 nt
Filed under: uncultured bacterium
Lineage: Bacteria
Description: partial 16S ribosomal RNA
Rfam family: Bacterial small subunit ribosomal RNA
Source: RNAcentral
GAUGAACGCUGGCGGCGUGCUUAACACAUGCAAGUCGAACGGUGAACACGGAGCUUGCUCUGUGGGAUCAGUGGCGAACGGGUGAGUAACACGUGAGCAACCUGCCCCUGACUCUGGGAUAAGCGCUGGAAACGGCGUCUAAUACUGGAUAUGUGACGUGACCGCAUGGUCUGCGUUUGGAAAGAUUUUUCGGUUGGGGAUGGGCUCGCGGCCUAUCAGCUUGUUGGUGAGGUAAUGGCUCACCAAGGCGUCGACGGGUAGCCGGCCUGAGAGGGUGACCGGCCCCACUGGGACUGAGACACGGCCCAGACUCCUACGGGAGGCAGCAGUGGGGAAUAUUGCACAAUGGGCGCAAGCCUGAUGCAGCAACGCCGCGUGAGGGAUGACGGCCUUCGGGUUGUAAACCUCUUUUAGCAGGGAAGAAGCGAAAGUGACGGUACCUGCAGAAAAAGCGCCGGCUAACUACGUG